CAGGAUCAGUGACCAAGAUUGGACAGACUUCCAUGAAUCAAAACUUAAUGGUGGUUGCCACCAAGCUCUGUUCAUUUUUUUUGACCUAUAUCCAAGAGUUCUUUGCGAAAGCGAGCCUUGAAGAUUACCGCCUCCAAGUCCUGUUUCGAACUCUUUUAUUGGAGUCUUUUAUGAAUCAAGCCUUAAUGGUUUUAGCCACCA
RNAcentral lists this long non-coding RNA (201 nucleotides) under Brassica rapa (field mustard). RNAcentral's name for it is "long non-coding RNA (BRAP_LNC004369)". Lineage: Eukaryota; Viridiplantae; Streptophyta; Magnoliopsida; Brassicales; Brassicaceae. The record is from RNAcentral.